Molecule: ribosomal RNA, 400 nt
Filed under: Filosa sp.
Lineage: Eukaryota; Cercozoa
Description: partial small subunit ribosomal RNA
Rfam family: Eukaryotic small subunit ribosomal RNA
Source: RNAcentral
AUUCCAGCUCCAAUAGCGUAUAUUUAAGUUGUUGCAGUUAAAAAGCUCGUAGUUGGAUUUCUGGUUAGAUGCGCCUGGCCCGCCGACGUUCAGUCGUGUGAAGUGCUGGUGCGCAACUGCCAUCCUUCUAGAGAAGGGACCAACGGUUCAUUCCGGUUCGGUUCACAAUCUAGAUCUUUUACUUUGAAAAAAUUAGAGUGUUUAAAGCAGGCUUUUGCUAUGAAUACAUUAGCAUGGAAUAAUAAUUUAGGACUCUGUUUCUAUUUUGUUGGUUUCCGGAAACGGAGUAAUGAUUGAUAGGGAUUGUUGGGGGUGCUAGUAUUCAGCGGCCAGAGGUGAAAUUCUCGGAUUCGCUGAAGACUAACUUAUGCGAAAGCAUUCACCAAGGAAGUCUUCAUUA